Molecule: ribosomal RNA, 582 nt
Filed under: Salmonella enterica subsp. enterica serovar Kentucky
Lineage: Bacteria; Pseudomonadati; Pseudomonadota; Gammaproteobacteria; Enterobacterales; Enterobacteriaceae
Description: partial 23S ribosomal RNA
Rfam family: Bacterial large subunit ribosomal RNA
Source: RNAcentral
CGGAAGACCAAGGGUUCCUGUCCAACGUUAAUCGGGGCAGGGUGAGUCGACCCCUAAGGCGAGGCCGAAAGGCGUAGUCGAUGGGAAACGGGUUAAUAUUCCCGUACUUGGUGUUACUGCGAAGGGGGGACGGAGAAGGCUAUGUUGGCCGGGCGACGGUUGUCCCGGUUUAAGCGUGUAGGUGUGUGUUCCAGGUAAAUCCGGUUCACUUUAACACUGAGGCGUGAUGACGAGGCACUACGGUGCUGAAGCAACAAAUGCCCUGCUUCCAGGAAAAGCCUCUAAGCAUCAGGUAACAUCAAAUCGUACCCCAAACCGACACAGGUGGUCAGGUAGAGAAUACCAAGGCGCUUGAGAGAACUCGGGUGAAGGAACUAGGCAAAAUGGUGCCGUAACUUCGGGAGAAGGCACGCUGACACGUAGGUGAAGUGAUUUACUCACGGAGCUGAAGUCAGUCGAAGAUACCAGCUGGCUGCAACUGUUUAUUAAAAACACAGCACUGUGCAAACACGAAAGUGGACGUAUACGGUGUGACGCCUGCCCGGUGCCGGAAGGUUAAUUGAUGGGGUCAGCGCAAGCGAA